AGUGAACGCUGGCGGUAGGCCUAACACAUGCAAGUCGAACGGCAGCACAGUAAGAGCUUGCUCUUACGGGUGGCGAGUGGCGGACGGGUGAGGAAUACAUCGGAAUCUACUUUUUCGUUGGGGAUAACGUAGGGAAACUUACGCUAAUACCUCAUACGACCUACGGGUGAAAGCAGGGGAUCUUCGGACCUUGCGCGAUUGAAUGAGCCGAUGUCGGAUUAGCUAGUUGGCGGGGUAAAGGCCCACCAAGGCGACGAUCCGUAGCUGGUCUGAGAGGAUGAUCAGCCACACUGGAACUGAGACACGGUCCAGACUCCUACGGGAGGCAGCAGUGGGGAAUAUUGGACAAUGGGCGCAAGCCUGAUCCAGCCAUACCGCGUGCGUGAAGAAGGCCUUCGGGUUGUAAAGCCCUUUUGUUGGGAAAGAAAAGCAGCAGGUUAAUACCCCGCUGUUCUGACGGUACCCAAAGAAUAAGCACCGGCUAACUUCGUG
Molecule: ribosomal RNA, 492 nt
Filed under: uncultured bacterium
Lineage: Bacteria
Description: partial 16S ribosomal RNA
Rfam family: Bacterial small subunit ribosomal RNA
Source: RNAcentral